Molecule: ribosomal RNA, 208 nt
Filed under: uncultured bacterium
Lineage: Bacteria
Description: partial 16S ribosomal RNA
Rfam family: Bacterial small subunit ribosomal RNA
Source: RNAcentral
UCAGAUUGUAGGCUGAAACUCGCCUAUAUGAAGUCGGAAUUGCUAGUAAUCGCGGAUCAGCAUGCCGCGGUGAAUACGUUCCCGGGCCUUGUACACACCGCCCGUCACACCAUGAGAGUCGAUAACACCCGAAGCCUGUAGUCUAACAGCAAUGAGGACGCAGUCGAAGGUGGGAUUGAUAAUUAGGGUGAAGUCGUAACAAGGUACC